This 333-nucleotide ribosomal RNA is filed under the name Ooperipatellus nickmayeri. RNAcentral's name for it is "partial 12S ribosomal RNA". The record is from RNAcentral. Lineage: Eukaryota; Metazoa; Onychophora; Udeonychophora; Euonychophora; Peripatopsidae.
CUUGAUUUUAAAGAUUUCCUAAGUAGUAAAUGGAAACUUAAAAAUUUGACAGUAUUUAAUUUUCUAAAGGAAUAUGUAAUAUAAUCGUCAAUACACGUUUAAUCUUACUUAUUUUUUUUUGUAUCUCCGUUGUCAGAUUUUAUUUAAUAUUAAAAUAAUUUUCUUAAUAAAAGUUUUUAAUACUUCAGGUCAAGGUGCAGAAUAAAUAAGACAUUAUGUAUUACAAUCAAAAUUAUUUUAAUUAUUUUAUAUAUUUUAUUGUUUUUGUUGUUUUUUAUUAGUUUUCUAACUUUAAUGUGCGGAAUUUUUCAUUUUUUUUAGGGUUGCAAAUUU